This 876-nucleotide ribosomal RNA is filed under the name uncultured bacterium. Its description in RNAcentral is "bacterial SSU rRNA". It matches the Rfam family "Bacterial small subunit ribosomal RNA", at positions 8 to 916 of the family's 1533-position model. The record is from RNAcentral.
AGAGUUUGAUCCUGGCUCAGGAUAAACGCUGGCGGCGUGCCUAAAACAUGCAAGUCGAACGGCCCAUUUCGGUGGGCAGUGGCGGACGGCUGAGUAACACGUGGGUGACCUGCCCUCGAGCGGGGGAUAACUGCCCGAAAGGGUGGCUAAUACCGCAGACAUCUGGCCUUCGGUGGACAGAUUGAACCUCUGGGGUUCGAGGAGGGGCCCGCGGCCGAUUAGCUGGCUGGUGGGGUAAUGGCCUACCAGGGCUUCGAUCGGUAGCUGGUCUGAGAGGAUGAUCAGCCAGACUGGGACUGCGAACGGCCCAGACUCCUACGGGAGGCAGCAGUUAGGAAUUUUGGGCAAUGGGCGAAAGCCUGACCCAGCAACGCCGCGUGGGUGAUGAAGGCCCUCGGGUCGUAAAGCCCUUUUCCCAGGGAAGAUGGUGACGGUACCUGGGGAAUCAGCCCCGGCUAACUACGUGCCAGCAGCCGCGGUAAUACGUAGGGGGCGAGCGUUGUCCGGAUUUAUUGGGCGUAAAGCGCUCGCAGGUGGUCCGAUGCGUCGUGCGUGAAAGACCCCGGCUCAACUGGGGGGCGUCGUGCGAUACGGUCGGACUGGAGGCCAGUAGGGGGAUGCGGAAUUCCGGGUGUAGUGGUGGAAUGCGUAGAGAUCCGGAGGAACACCAGCGGCGAAGGCGGCAUCCUGGACUGGUCCUGACACUCAGGAGCGAAAGCGUGGGGAGCGAUCCGGAUUAGAUACCCGGGUAGUCCACGCCGUAAACGAUGAGCACUAGGUGUCGGGGGUAUCGACCCCCUCGGUGCCGCAGCUAACGCGAUAAGUGCUCCGCCUGGGGACUACGGCCGCAAGGCUAAAACUCAAAGGAAUUGACGG